GAUGAACGCUGGCGGCGUGCCUAAUACAUGCAAGUCGAGCGAACGGACGAGAAGCUUGCGGGUCUGUUGUUAGCGGCGGGCGGGUGAGUCACACGUGGAUACUCUACCUAUAAGACUGGUAUAACUACGGGAAACGGGAGCUUAUACCGGAGAAUAUUCUGAACCGCAGGGUGCAAAAGUGAAAGACGGUCUUGCGGUCACUUAUAGAUGGAUCCGCGCUGCAUUGGCUAGUUGGUAAGGUAACGGCUUACCAAGGCAACGAGGCAUAGCCGACCUGAGGGGGUGAUCGCCCACACUGGAACUGAGACACGGUCCAGGCUCCUGCGGUAGGCAGCAGUAGGCAAUCGUCGGCAGUGGGCGGAAGCCUGGCGGAGCAGCGCCACGUGAGUGAUGGAGGUCUUCGGAUCGUAAAACUCUGUUAUUAGGUAAGAACAUAUGUGUAAGUAACUGUGCACAUCUUGACGGUACCUAAUCAGAAAGCCACGGCUAACUACGUG
Molecule: ribosomal RNA, 497 nt
Filed under: uncultured bacterium
Lineage: Bacteria
Description: partial 16S ribosomal RNA
Rfam family: Bacterial small subunit ribosomal RNA
Source: RNAcentral